This is a long non-coding RNA of Prosopis cineraria, 560 nucleotides long. RefSeq lists it as uncharacterized. The record is from RefSeq and is a predicted model, not a curated record. Lineage: Eukaryota; Viridiplantae; Streptophyta; Magnoliopsida; Fabales; Fabaceae. The transcript has 4 exons.
UCAGAAUAAAGGCUACAUGCUCAGUCAAACUCCUCCAAUUGCAACCCUCCCUAUUUCUCCCGGAGACCAAAGAUGGAGAAAUCUGGACUCCUCGCUGCCUAAAAGGUAGUUGCUUCCGCCACAACAGUCUUUGUUUCAUCUCCCUCUUCCUCCGCUUCUCUACAGACUCUACAUCAGGAUGCGACGAUUUAGAGGAACCAAGAGAACUCAUCAUCGGCGAGUUCAUCCUCUACAGACAAAUUUGCGCCGAGAUUUGACGGUUUGCGAUUCAUUGAGACACUGGUGACUGCCCACAGGUUAGAAAGUCAAAGAAAUCGGUGAACCAACUGUUUCUUCUGCUAAACAGGAGCUAUCAGAGAUGGUUUUUCAGUUUGCUGUGUAGGAAGCAGCAUCUGGCUACAUGUGGCUUCUAUAUUUUCCCCCAAGUUUUUCCUUUAUUUUAUGUUUAUGAGAUAUUUUUAGAAUUCUUGUAAUAUUAUUGAAUGAGUUUAUUACUUCACACUUCUUGUAAUAUUGAAUGACUUUUGAUAUAUGGUUAACUGAUUGAACCAUUUAUGGUA